CUAUAGCCAUACCAUCCUGAAUGUGCCCGAUCCCGUCUAAUCUCAGAAGCUAAGCAGGAUCGGGCCCGGUUAGUACUUGCAUGGGAGACCACCUAGGAAGACCAGGUGCUUCCUAGG
This 117-nucleotide ribosomal RNA is filed under the name Pteropus alecto (black flying fox). The record is from RNAcentral. Lineage: Eukaryota; Metazoa; Chordata; Mammalia; Chiroptera; Pteropodidae.